ACAACUUCUCUCCAAAUUUGAAAAUUCACACUCUCAUUAAAUCUCCUUCUCUCCAUUACCUCUUCUCCAUCUCAAACACCAUCGUCACCUCUUCUCUUUCUCUGUAUCUAAUCAUUUGGGUUCUAGUUCGUUCAUGAACGGAUCUAGGAUGAAGGAUUUUUGAAAUACAUUGAGUUGAGGCAGAAUUUUGGUUUCAUCUUCUUCAUUGAGAUAUGAAUUAGGUUUCAUGAAUUUUUU
Molecule: long non-coding RNA, 237 nt
Filed under: Medicago truncatula (barrel medic)
Lineage: Eukaryota; Viridiplantae; Streptophyta; Magnoliopsida; Fabales; Fabaceae
Description: long non-coding RNA (MTRU_LNC002546)
Source: RNAcentral